Transfer RNA from Treponema succinifaciens DSM 2489, 84 nucleotides. It matches the Rfam family "tRNA". From Rfam's summary of the family: Transfer RNA (tRNA) molecules are approximately 80 nucleotides in length. Their secondary structure includes four short double-helical elements and three loops (D, anti-codon, and T loops). NCBI's taxonomy places the organism in Bacteria, Pseudomonadati, Spirochaetota, Spirochaetia, Treponematales, Treponemataceae. The record is from Rfam.
GCCCAGGUGGUGGAAUUGGUAGACACGCUAGUUUCAGGUACUAGAGUCCGUAAGGAUGUACGAGUUCAAGUCUCGUUCUGGGCA